UACGGAGGGUGCGAGCGUUGUCCGGAAUCAUUGGGCGUAAAGGGCGCGUAGGUGGCGGGACAAGCGUGCGGUGAAAGCCUGGGGCUCAACCCCGGGUCGGCCGUGCGAACUGUUUUGCUUGAGCACUGUAGAGGCAGGCGGAAUUCCGGGAGUAGCGGUGGAAUGCGUAGAGAUCCGGAAGAACACCGGUGGCGAAGGCGGCCUGCUGGGCAGUAGCUGACACUGAGGCGCGACAGCGUGGGGAGCAAACAGG
This 253-nucleotide ribosomal RNA is filed under the name uncultured bacterium. RNAcentral describes it as "partial 16S ribosomal RNA". It matches the Rfam family "Bacterial small subunit ribosomal RNA", at positions 524 to 776 of the family's 1533-position model. The record is from RNAcentral.